AGUGAACGCUGGCGGUAGGCCUAACACAUGCAAGUCGAACGGCAGCACAGUAAGAGCUUGCUCUUACGGGUGGCGAGUGGCGGACGGGUGAGGAAUACAUCGGAAUCUACUUUUUCGUGGGGGAUAACGUAGGGAAACUUACGCUAAUACCGCAUACGACCUACGGGCGAAAGCAGGGGCUCUUCGGACCUUGCGCGAUUGAAUGAGCCGAUGUCGGAUUAGCUAGUUGGCGGGGUAAAGGCCCACCAAGGCGACGAUCCGUAGCUGGUCUGAGAGGAUGAUCAGCCACACUGGAACUGAGACACGGUCCAGACUCCUACGGGAGGCAGCAGUGGGGAAUAUUGGACAAUGGGCGCUAGCCUGAUCCAGCCAUACCGCGUGGGUGAAGAAGGCCUUCGGGUUGUAAAGCCCUUUUGUUGGGAAAGAAAAGCAGCAGGUUAAUACCCCGCUGUUCUGACGGUACCCAAAGAAUAAGCACCGGCUAACUUCGUG
RNAcentral lists this ribosomal RNA (492 nucleotides) under uncultured bacterium. RNAcentral's name for it is "partial 16S ribosomal RNA". It matches the Rfam family "Bacterial small subunit ribosomal RNA", at positions 29 to 507 of the family's 1533-position model. The record is from RNAcentral.